CAUGUUUGAUGUCUUUAUCUUGUCAGCUCUUUUCAUGCAUUUGCUACUUGUAUCAAAAGAAUGGUAUAUUUAUGUGCAUUAAUUCUUCUAAUCUGUAUCUAGGCUGAGCAAAGGGCUCGAGAAGAAAGUGAGAGGCUGAGGCAACAGGAGCGUGAACAAAUUGCAGAGAAAAGGAGAAGGGAUUUGACUCUUAGGGCUCGUGUUGCCGCAAAGGCAGAGGAAAAGAGAUUGGAGUUGCUGUUCCUUCGGUGGAGUGGGCACCAAAGAAAACUUGGCAACUUUUUAAGGUUAUCUCUAAUUUUGGUCCCACGUAUCCAUAUUCACAAUUUUAUUGAGACCAAGAUAAGUUUCUUUUUCAUGUGCAUAGAGUUGAGGCAGAUGGAUGACUGGAAGUUUCCUGCUCUGCAGGACUGUAGGUUGGCCUAUGUGGCAUUUUGUAUGUUCAUGAUUCACCUUUUCAUUUUUUUGUGGGCUUGUUUCUUGCAGGACUAAGGUAGAGCCUCCUGUAUACUACUCAUUUGCCAAG
Diospyros lotus (date-plum) is the source of this 526-nucleotide long non-coding RNA. RefSeq lists it as uncharacterized. The record is from RefSeq and is a predicted model, not a curated record. The transcript is spliced from 3 exons. Lineage: Eukaryota; Viridiplantae; Streptophyta; Magnoliopsida; Ericales; Ebenaceae.